AAUAAAAACAAUUGGAAAAAAAUGAAGAAGGUAAAAAAUUCUCAAGGAAGUUUCCACAGAUGUGUGUGUUUUUUAAAAAUGAAUUGCUUUUUUC
RNAcentral lists this non-coding RNA (94 nucleotides) under Eutreptiella gymnastica. Lineage: Eukaryota; Euglenozoa; Euglenophyceae; Eutreptiales; Eutreptiaceae. The record is from RNAcentral.